GACUCUCUCCUCAAAAACAAAACUCAAAGCAAACUCAAAUCACCCAAAGCCCAGCUCGUGCCUUUUUCACACCCACCCCCAAAAAAUGAACACCACCGCAAAACACAAAAUAAAUCCAAAUUGUCAUCGCAGCUAAAUGAAAGAACUAACAGAAAGUAAAUUACAAAAUGGAAUGCACCUUGCACGCAGAUAUGGCCCACACGUGGCCGACCCACGCUCAAUCAAAUGACGAGCACGCAGAGGUGCACUUGUCCGCCACGCGACGAGCGCAACGCUAAGCUUUCCAAGCGAUAUGCCACAGAGACAAUCAAUCAGGAGGAAAGUGGCUGAGAAGCGACUGUGUAAGCAACUGGGAAGCAUCUGGGAAGCGGCGAACGCGUGACCCGAGGGGCGAGUUAUACAAUUAACCAAAGUUAAAGCAACUCUGCAGAGGCAGCAACAACCACCACCACUGGAAGUUCCACUGCCUCAGCCUCCGCACCAUCCUCCACUACAAGGCAACGAAAUGAGCGGUGCUGUGGCCUAAAUUGCAAACAGCUGCCACUCGAACCGUGGGAUUCUUUUUCCCCUAGCCUGAAAAGCGAGCGAGAUACGAGAUACGCCAGGAUAGGGGAAGGGCCUUUACGUCUGUCCUCGGUUGCUCGCAAAACCUUAUCCAUGGGAACCACAACUGCUCGACGUUCUCAAUAUUUAUUCAGUUCAUUCGUUAUAUUGAAAAAAAAACAACAAAAUGAGAAGGAGAUAAAAUAUAAAAAAAGGGCCGGCCGGGUCGUGCCUUGUAGGGCAACACGAUUAUCCUGCACGUGUUGAGCUUGCUUCGGGGGUCCCUCACGCUAAAAGCGUGGCAGGCAAACGUUGGGCUGCUGUUUGCUGAUGAGGCUGCCACUGCCACUUGCGCUACUGCUCUGCCGCUGCUGCUGUUGCUCAGAUGGGCACAUGUGGCACUUGUUGUUUUGGGUGGGUGCUACAGUUUUUGGUGGUGCUUUUCUUCUGCCCGCUAUAAAACCACGGCAUUUGUCAUCAGGCAACAACAGUUACAAUUUGGCAGCCCACGCGACUAGAACACAAAGUCUAAAAAGUGAAAAUUCUACGUAGAUAUCUUAAAAAAUAAAAUUGAACGAAAAAUUUGACAGUACAACUUCAAAGUAAAAAUCUUCUUGCUUUAACGCAAAAAAUGUCGAAAGUUAAGAAUUNCAGGGGAAAUAGCAGCAGCAACAAUGACAGCCAGCUGUACGACAGUUUGGAGGAGAUUGCGCAGAAUCAGGCCAAUGAGCUUAUGCUGCUGGAGACGCUCAGUCACUACGAGAAGGAGCACUUGGUGAUUUGCCUGGAGACGGCAGCGGGCAGCUUCUAUUGGUGGUCACAGUAGCAGCAGUAGAUGGAGAUACUACGGCAACAAGGAGCAAAAGAGGUAGAUAAAGAAGGAACUACAGCUGGAGGUAAGGAAAUCGCUUAAUCAGCAGACAAAUCUCAGAGAGAAGUUCUGCAACAGGUGCAGGUUGAAGAGAAGAAGCUACAGAAGCAGCAUAAACAACACCAGCAGCAUCUGCUUAAGCAACAUUAGCACCAACAGCAGUAACAUUAGCAGCGGCACCAAUUAGAGCAUCAACAGAAGCUUAAAACGAAGAGUCAGCCUCUGCCAAAACAUCUCAAAGAACUUAAACAUCAUCAGUAGAAGCUUUAACAUUGUCAGCAAUAAAUGCAACAGUUGCUUCAACAACAUUAGAAUCUCCACAUCCACAAUAGUUUCAUCACCAACAGCAACCAAACACAAAUGUAACAAAAUGGCCAUCAGCAGCAACAGAAGCUUCUGAUAAACAGCAGCAACAUCUGGUAAGGCUAGAAGCCGUAACACAUCGUACAUUUGAGGAAGCAUCUAGAGACACAACAGCAGCAGCUAAAGCAGCAACGACAGCAGAAGCAAUAAAAACAGCAGCUAGAAGGGCAGCAGCAACAACAUCUCCAGCAACAACAGACACUCCGACAGCAACAUUAUCAGUACCAGCAUCAGCCAGUCGACGUGUGCGCAAAUAAAACCGGUACUUAGAAGCAAAAAUGUAUGAAUGAAUGAGUGACACGAACAACAACUACAACAAAAACGAUAACAACCAAAAGAGAAUUCCGUUCCAUGAAUGAAUGAAUGAAGCUGUCGCAGCAACUUACGUAAAUAUGUAUGUACAAACGUAUAUAAAUACAUAUGUAUGUAUGGUACAUACGUUCGUGUGAAACAAGCUGAGUGAUAAAAAAAACAGCAAUAGUGCGCCACACCAAGAAGGGCACAUAAGCGAACCGUCUCUCUCUCUCUCCCAGUUGGAGUCCUGAGAUGGAUGUUAAUUCUCAAGAAUACUUCAUAAAUUUGUGAUAAUAAAUAUCUUUAGCAAUAGGAAUAGCAUAAAUGUUAUUAAAUAAUAAAAAUAAGAAAAUACUCAAAAAUUUCAAUGAAAUAA
This 2447-nucleotide long non-coding RNA is filed under the name Drosophila guanche. The record is from RNAcentral. Lineage: Eukaryota; Metazoa; Arthropoda; Insecta; Diptera; Drosophilidae.